GUUUGUGCGAGAGAGAAUUAGUACUGUGAAGGAAGUAAUUAAUGUAAAUUUUAAAAUAGUAGAAAUUAAAAUUUGUACCUUUUGUAUCAUGGUUUCUUUAGGUGUUUCUUUGAUUAAAGGGUGCCCGAAAAAGACUGAGCUAUCCUUUAGCGAGGCGUCAACGUGGUAGAGUUGUGCUGAGAUUAGAGGAUUGGGGUGAAAUGCUUAUCGAAGUCUUUGAUUGCUGGUUGGCCAGGAAAAAUAUUAAAGUAUAGGCUCAAUCAAGGGUUAUUACCUUAACCUAAAAAUUAUCUUGUUAUUUAUUAUUGUGACAGGAUGUGAGGUUGAAGCUUAAAUGAAAAAGGAUAAGCUUUUUUAUAGAGUUAAGAGAAUCAGUUAUGACAGUAUGGGGUAGGUAUGGUUGGCUUAGAGUUAGCUAUCUUUGGUUAAGUUUGUUAUAAAUUAGCCUACCUUGAAGUUUUAAGAUUAAUAUAGAUUUUCUAGGAUAAAGGUUUUAGUACUGGCUUACCUAGUUGAAUUAAUAAAACUAGGGCGUUUCUGGGAAAAUGAGUAUUUAAAGUAUUUAUAUGUUUGUUUACGUAGGAUUGGAUGUUAAUUAAACAAUAAAGUGUGAAGUAGAUAUUAUAUAUUAUAGUGGUUUAUAAAUGGAAUUUUAGUUAAGGAAUUCGGCAAAAAUUAGUUUCGCCUGUUUAUCAAAAACAUGGCUCUUUGUGUUUUAAAUUAUAGGGAGUCGGACCUGCCCGGUGACGUAAUGUUAAACGGCCGCGGUACCCUAACCGUGCUAAGGUAGCAUAAUCAUUUGCCUUUUAAUUGGAGGCUGGUAUGAAUGGUUUGACGAGAACUAAGCUGUCUCUUUUGAAAUAUUUAGAAUUUAAUCUUUAGGUGAAGAAGCCUAAAUUUGGCUGAGGGACAAGAAGACCCUGUUGAGCUUGAGUGGAGUAGAGUAUGGUUUUAUUGAGUUGAUCGGUUAUAUUUUUAUAACUUAAUUACUCUAGUAAUCUUUAGUUGGGGCGACUGAGGAACAUGGAAAGCUUCCUUUAAGUUAUAGUAAUGUAUGUUGGCAGAUUAGUGAGAUCCAGUAUGUACUGAUCAAAGGAAAAAGUUACCACAGGGAUAACAGCGUAAUCUUUCUGGAGAGAUCUUAUCGAAAGGAGGGUUUGCGACCUCGAUGUUGGACUAAGAUAUCCCAAGGGUGCAGAAGCUCUUGACGGUUGGUCUGUUCGACCAUUAAAAUCUUACAUGAUCUGAGUUCAGACCGGCGUGAGCCAGGUUGGUUUCUAUCUUCAGUUGUAGAAGUGAUUUUUGGCUAGUACGAAAGGACCGCUGUUAAAAUAAAAAUUUUUAUGUUUUAUGAAAAUAUUUAAGUGAUUGUAUUAAGUUUUAGUGG
RNAcentral lists this ribosomal RNA (1387 nucleotides) under Calliostoma zizyphinum. RNAcentral describes it as "partial 16S ribosomal RNA". It matches the Rfam family "Bacterial large subunit ribosomal RNA", at positions 478 to 2925 of the family's 2925-position model. The record is from RNAcentral. Lineage: Eukaryota; Metazoa; Mollusca; Gastropoda; Trochida; Calliostomatidae.